This is a non-coding RNA of Vicugna pacos (alpaca), 1762 nucleotides long. Lineage: Eukaryota; Metazoa; Chordata; Mammalia; Artiodactyla; Camelidae. The record is from RefSeq and is a predicted model, not a curated record.
CGGGGCAAAGGCCCUAGGAGGCAAGCACUGCUCACCUUCAGGGAGGGGAAACAGUGUGACAAAAACUUAAAAAGCAAAGAGAAUGGGAUGAGGUAAAGUUGAAAGAGUAAAUGUUACCAAGCUCAAACUGGUUCUGCUCGUCCCAUGACAGGCCAAUAAAUUGGGAGAUGAGGUAUUGGGGCAAGGAAUAACGACUUUAUUCAGAAAGCUGGCAAACCCAGAUGGCCGACUAACAUCCUGGAGAACCAUCUUCCCCCAAGUCAGAAUUCACACUCCUUUUAUACUAAAAAGGGGAGAAGUCGGUUGUUGCAAACUCAUUGGUGUUGGGAUCCCUUGUUCUUGCAGCUGUCCACGUUGGGUCAGGUCCUGGUGUUCCUGCAAACCUCGAAUAAGACAAAUGUUAUUUUCUAUCCUGCAAUUUUACAUCUUUAUAUGAAUGGGCAAGUGUCACACCCUUAAAGGUCAAAACCUUGAGAAUGGGCUAUCCUGUGUAUUUUAGGCUAUAGGCAACAUUCUUUCACAAAAGGUGCAGAAUCAGCAUGACUCAACACAGGGGAACACAGCAGAGGGUUAAAGUCAAAGGAACAGAUCUAAUAAUGGAGUCAGAUUUGUUCUUUUCUAUUAUAUAAACAGGCAUCAAAUCAUUCAGAAACUUGUAGGCCAAGUUAGAGAAUUUGUAUUGUAAAAUAAAUGGAAAGAAAGUUAGAAACGGCAUUUAAGCAAUAGUGACAUGAUACAGUUCAGACUUUUAAAAGGCUACCUUGUAUAUCAGUCUGAUAGGAUGUAGUGUGAGGUCUGCAGUAUGAUCACCUAUGAUAUAUUCCAGGCAAAAAUGUUUACCUUUACUUUGUCAGUUCUUUGCAUCUAACACAUACUUUAUGAGAAAUACAGGGAAGAGAAAAGCAAUCUAAAUGAUACCGCAAAAAGUAACCAAACCAAUCCCGAAGGUGGAACAUUCUGCAGGAUAACUGGCUCCAUCUCUUAAAUUUGAGGGAUGUAGAGUCUAGAUUGAAUCCUGAUUUGAACAGACCAUCUAUAAAAUGCAUUUUCAGGACAACUGAAGAAAUUUGAAUAGAGAUGAACUGUAAUGAGAUGAAAAUGUAUUGCCAUGGAAAAGUGGAGAUCAUUAACCCAAAAGAACAAGUUACAAAACAUAAAGCUGGAACAAAUGAAAAAUGAGAGAUGGAAAAUGGAAAACUGGAAUUCCUCCAGAACCCUGUCUUUCCUACCUCUGCCCCACAAGGUGUCACUAUUGAGACACAGAAAAGCGGCUGUGUCAAGACUGGUCACAAGAUGGCGCUAUUAAAACGGGCAGUUCUGGUGGUGCGAAAGCCCAAGCAAGCUAAGGCGUCCAUGCGGAUGGAAAGUGAAAAUGGCAGAAAAUGAAGAGGAUGGGAGUUUGCAUGUCAGCAGGGAGUUGCUUGCAUCUAAGCGUGAGCCUCUGUGUACGGUUUCCAAUGAAAAUAUUUGACCAUUGACGAGAAUGACCUAUGAUGGUACAGGACAGAUUCCCAUGUGUCUUUUUGGAUUAGAAUUUUCUCCGGAUAAAUGCCCAACAGUGGGAUUGCUGGAUCAUAAGAGAACUGCCUUUGGCCAAUAGGAGCCACUUCCCCUGAGAGGAUACUCUCCCCUCCUGCUCACAGCCAAUGACUGACUCAGAAGGACAUGAAAGCCUGGACCCUUUGUCUCAAGUUCACACUCCAGAGCUCCUCAAGGUAUCAGGCAGAAAGAAGCUAGACUCCAGGUAAGACAUAUCCUUGCU